RNAcentral lists this ribosomal RNA (477 nucleotides) under Triticum aestivum (bread wheat). RNAcentral's name for it is "partial small subunit ribosomal RNA". The record is from RNAcentral. Lineage: Eukaryota; Viridiplantae; Streptophyta; Magnoliopsida; Poales; Poaceae.
AUGGCGCGUGGGCCGUGCUUGCUGCUGGCGCCGUGGGGCACCUUACGCGGCUCCCCGCCCACCCGCACGGCAAGUCUGUACAUUGGCCACAACCGGAUCCACAGGGAAGAGGUGCUCGAGAUGGAGGAGGACAUCCAGAUUGAGAGUGCAGAUUAUAUAGCAACAACCAUGAACUACCAUACAAUCAUCAUAUCACACAUUCCACCUAUGAGUAUGAAGAUCCGUGACAAGGCUCAUCUCUUCGGUGAGCAGCAGUGUGCUACGUUGGACAGUUACCAAGGCUGGACGGAGGUGUGCCCGUGCAGCCGGACGGUGUCGUCCUGGUCGAGCAGAUCGCCGUACCAAGGUUGCCUGCCGGACUCCAAUUCCCUACCGCUGUCAAGCUCUAGAUCAAGCUCCACAUGGACCUGUCUAUCCGUGCGAUACUGCAUUUCCCUGGUGGCCGUCUGUUCCGCUUGGCGUUUCCUCUGGAUCUGA